GAUGAACGCUGGCGGCGUGCCUAAUACAUGCAAGUCGAACGAGUUCUCGUUGAUGAUCGGUGCUUGCACCGAGAUUCAACAUGGAACGAGUGGCGGACGGGUGAGUAACACGUGGGUAACCUGCCCUUAAGUGGGGGAUAACAUUUGGAAACAGAUGCUAAUACCGCAUAGAUCCAAGAACCGCAUGGUUCUUGGCUGAAAGAUGGCGUAAGCUAUCGCUUUUGGAUGGACCCGCGGCGUAUUAGCUAGUUGGUGAGGUAAUGGCUCACCAAGGCGAUGAUACGUAGCCGAACUGAGAGGUUGAUCGGCCACAUUGGGACUGAGACACGGCCCAAACUCCUACGGGAGGCAGCAGUAGGGAAUCUUCCACAAUGGACGCAAGUCUGAUGGAGCAACGCCGCGUGAGUGAAGAAGGCUUUCGGGUCGUAAAACUCUGUUGUUGGAGAAGAAUGGUCGGCAGAGUAACUGUUGUCGGCGUGACGGUAUCCAACCAGAAAGCCACGGCUAACUAC
RNAcentral lists this ribosomal RNA (512 nucleotides) under uncultured bacterium. RNAcentral's name for it is "bacterial SSU rRNA". It matches the Rfam family "Bacterial small subunit ribosomal RNA", at positions 28 to 504 of the family's 1533-position model. The record is from RNAcentral.